GACAUGCUAGUCGAGUGACUCAGGCAAAACGAGUCACGGCACACAGCUCAGUAACACGUGGCUAAUCUGCCCUUAGGACGAGAACAACCCCGGGAAACUGGGGCUAACUCUUGAUAGGUGAAGAACUCUGGAAUGAGUCUUUGCCUAAAAAGAUUCACGUUAUCCUCGUGAACCUGCCUAAGGAUGAGGCCGCGACCGAUCAGGUUGUUGGUGAGGUAAUGGCUCACCAAGCCUUUUACCGGUGCGGGCCGUGGGAGCGGGAGCCCGGAGAUGGGUACUUAGACAAGGACCCAGGCCCUACGGGGCGCAGCAGUCGCGAAACCUUUGCAAUACACGUAAGUGUGACAGGGCUAUCCCGAGUGCCAUCCGCUGAGGAAGGCUUUUACCCAGUCUAGACCGCUGGGGGAAUAAGGAGAGGGCAAGUCUGGUGUCAGCCGCCGCGGUAAUACCAGCUCUCCGAGUGGUGUGGAUGUUUAUUGGGCCUAAAGCAUCCGUAGCUGGCUAGGUAAGUCCCCUGUUAAAUCCACCGAAUUAAUCGUUGGAUCGCGGGGGAUACUGCUUGGCUAGGGGACGAGAGAGGCAGACGGUAUUUUCGGGGUAGGGGUGAAAUCCUAUAAUCCCGGGAAGACCACCAGUGGCGAAGGCUGUCUGCUAGAACGCGCCCGACGGUGAGGGAUGAAAGCUGGGGGAGCGAACCGGAUUAGAUACCCGGGUAGUCCCAGCUGUAAACGAUGCAGCUAGGUGUUUGGACGGCCACGUGCCGUUCUAGUGCCGCAGGGAAGCUGUUAAGCCUGCCGCCUGGGGAGUACGAUCGCAAGAUUGAAACUUAA
RNAcentral lists this ribosomal RNA (830 nucleotides) under uncultured crenarchaeote. Its description in RNAcentral is "bacterial SSU rRNA". It matches the Rfam family "Archaeal small subunit ribosomal RNA", at positions 48 to 859 of the family's 1478-position model. The record is from RNAcentral. Lineage: Archaea; Thermoproteati; Thermoproteota.